GGGUCAUUGGGUUGGUCGUGCCACCGGUACGUACUGGUCUCACUGAUUCCUCCUUCCUGAAGAACCGUAAUGCCAUUAAUUUGGUGUUGCGGGGAAACAGGACUGUUACUUUGAAAAAAUUAGAGUGUUUAAAGCAAGCUAACGCUUGAAUACAAUAGCAUGGAAUAAUGAAAUAGGACGAUCGAUCCUAUUUUGUUGGUUCCUAGGAUUGACGUA
This 216-nucleotide ribosomal RNA is filed under the name Glomeromycotina sp. Its description in RNAcentral is "partial small subunit ribosomal RNA". The stretch from base 40 to 216 matches the Rfam family "Eukaryotic small subunit ribosomal RNA", at positions 686 to 864 of the family's 1831-position model. The record is from RNAcentral. Lineage: Eukaryota; Fungi; Glomeromycota.